UACGUAGGGGGCAAGCGUUGUCCGGAAUCAUUGGGCGUAAAGAGCGUGUAGGCGGCCCGGUAAGUCCGCUGUGAAAGUCGGGGGCUCAACCCUCGAAUGCCGGUGGAUACUGUCGGGCUAGAGUGCGGGAGAGGCGAGUGGAAUUCCUGGUGUAGCGGUGAAAUGCGCAGAUAUCGAGAGGAACACCUGCGGCGAAGGCGGGUUGCUGGGCUGAUACUGACGCUGAUGCGCGAAAGCCAGGGGAGCGAACGGG
RNAcentral lists this ribosomal RNA (253 nucleotides) under uncultured bacterium. Its description in RNAcentral is "partial 16S ribosomal RNA". It matches the Rfam family "Bacterial small subunit ribosomal RNA", at positions 524 to 776 of the family's 1533-position model. The record is from RNAcentral.